AGCGAACGUUAGCGGCGGGCCUAACACAUGCAAGUCGAGCGAGAAAGUGGCUUCGGCCAUCAGUAAAGCGGCGGACGGGUGAGUAACACGUAGGUAAUCUUCCCUUGAGCGGGGGACAACGAGCCGAAAGGCUCGCUAAUACCGCAUAAGUUCCUAGAGACUCCGGUCUUUAGGAGGAAAGCUAGGUAGCAAUAUCCGGCACUCGAGGAGGAGCCUGCGUCGCAUCAGCUAGNGGUGGGGUAACGGCCUACCAAGGCGAAGACGCGUAGCUGGUCUGAGAGGAUGAUCAGCCACACUGAAACUGAGACACGGUUCAGACUCCUACGGGAGGCAGCAGGUGGGGAAUAUUGGACAAUGGGCGCAAGCCUGAUCCA
This 374-nucleotide ribosomal RNA is filed under the name uncultured bacterium. Its description in RNAcentral is "bacterial SSU rRNA". It matches the Rfam family "Bacterial small subunit ribosomal RNA", at positions 29 to 390 of the family's 1533-position model. The record is from RNAcentral.